GGACCCCAGGGUCUGAGUCGCCGCUGCCGCCGCUGCCACCAUCCGCGAGGCAGGCGAGAGGAAGAGUGCGGCGUGACGGCCCCGGGGCCGCGGAGGGACCCAGAUAUGGAGCUUCGAGAAGAAGCUUGGUCUCCGGGGCCACUGGAUUCUGAGGACCAGCAGAUGGCCAGUCAUGAGAACCCAGCAUUAUUAGGUUGAAAAACUCACCUGUGGGUUACGUGGAGCCUAGGUGUUUUGGGUAAGACCCAUCCUGGUCCACCAACACCCUCCUCCCUCUCCCUGGUGAUUCCAGCCUGAUGACAAGAAAGCUCAUGCGAAGGCACAGUGGGCCAAGUUGUGUGUCUGACACCUGGAGCAGACGGCAUUGGCUUUCUCCAUGUUAAUAAAUUGGUGCUUACAACACAAAAAAAAAAAAAAAAAAAAAAAAAAAAAAAAAAAAAAAAAAA
Molecule: long non-coding RNA, 446 nt
Filed under: Mus musculus (house mouse)
Lineage: Eukaryota; Metazoa; Chordata; Mammalia; Rodentia; Muridae
Description: predicted gene, 54112
Source: RNAcentral